UUAAUUUGGUCAUAUUAAAGACGGUGUCCAUAAUGUGGCCAUAUUACAGAUGUCAUCCUCAAUAUGGCUACAUUAUGGACACUGUCCUUACUAUGGAAA
Puccinia sorghi is the source of this 99-nucleotide non-coding RNA. NCBI's taxonomy places the organism in Eukaryota, Fungi, Basidiomycota, Pucciniomycetes, Pucciniales, Pucciniaceae. The record is from the annotation of a GenBank genome assembly.